This 250-nucleotide ribosomal RNA is filed under the name uncultured bacterium. RNAcentral describes it as "partial 16S ribosomal RNA". It matches the Rfam family "Bacterial small subunit ribosomal RNA", at positions 95 to 354 of the family's 1533-position model. The record is from RNAcentral.
ACGGCGAACGGGGUGAGUAACACGUAGGUGAUCUGCCCAUCAGACGGGGACAACGAUUGGAAACGAUCGCUAAUACCGGACAGGACGAAAGUUUAAAGAUGCUCCUGGCAUCACUGAUGGAUGAGCCUGCGGCGCAUUAGCUAGUUGGUGGGGUAAAGGCCUACCAAGGCGACGAUGCGUAGCCGACCUGAGAGGGUGAACGGCCACACUGGGACUGAGACACGGCCCAGACUCCUACGGGAGGCAGCAG